This is a long non-coding RNA of Helianthus annuus (common sunflower), 807 nucleotides long. RefSeq lists it as uncharacterized. The record is from RefSeq and is a predicted model, not a curated record. The transcript has 2 exons. NCBI's taxonomy places the organism in Eukaryota, Viridiplantae, Streptophyta, Magnoliopsida, Asterales, Asteraceae.
AAUUAACCCCUUCCCCCUUUAACCUUAAAGGCCAUCAACUAUGGAAACUUGACAUACCCUAUGACGGCUUCAAAGGGGGCCCACAGUCCCCCUAAUUGUCUCAAGACUUGGAGAAAUGGAUGUUGGAUAUUUGAGUGCAUGAUAAAGGUGGACAUAAGAGAUGUUUUAAAGACACCAACUCCUUCCCAUACUCUUCAACUCCUUCAAGAAAAAUCACCUACACAACUCCCUUCUUCCUUUCUAAACUUUCGGCCAAGAUACCACAAAUCACCAUCAAUUUUUCCUUUCAUUCUCCAAGCAAUCCAAGUGCAUACAAAGGUGUCUCAAGCUCAACUAAGAAGGUUUCAAGUCUCGAAAGUGCAAGGACCACUCAAGGGAGCUUUUAACCACCACAUUCAUCCUCUCAUUCUCUUCUUGUUCAUUUUGCCACUUCCCUAGCCACUAGAGCUAGUUACAAAUAACUUCAAUGGGCAUAUUGGAAAAGGGCUGCAACUGAAGGGACUGGAUAUACAAAAGUUCAGGGGUUCCGAUCGUUUCUGCCUAUUGUGUGGGGUUUGAAGUGUAAUUUCUUUUGCUGCAGAUAUAAAAGAGUUGCACCUGGAUUCGUACACCAUUCCAGCAGUCUGUUUCAUCCUUUUCUCUCUUGUUAUCGAUUAGGGUUUGUUUUUCCUUUCGAGUUCUUGUUGAUCACCUGUUGUGAUCAUUUGUUUGUAUUGGUAUUAAGAUCUUACUAUCGUAAGAUCUAGGGUUCAGUUUGGGGAUUUUUGGUUGGUUAAUAACAAGAUUUCUCCACUGGUUUUGUCGCUA